This 913-nucleotide long non-coding RNA is filed under the name Physcomitrium patens. Its description in RNAcentral is "long non-coding RNA (PPAT_LNC007464)". The record is from RNAcentral. Lineage: Eukaryota; Viridiplantae; Streptophyta; Bryopsida; Funariales; Funariaceae.
UGAGGUGGUGCGAGUAUUGCCGUACCCAGAAUGCGAUCUCGAGUGUCAGGGAUAUUGCAGUUGAGAUGCGAUGGUGGCGAAUCGCUCCACACGGGUUACGACGCAACUAGGGAUCGCGGAAGAAAGAGUUGCCUUGGACUCUCCUGGCCAGCUAGGAAAAUGGUAAAACCCUACAGGAGGAGCGAGUGAAUCUGCUCCUACGCUUCAACGCCCCGGAGAUCGUUCUGGGGGGAUUCGCGGAUUUUAUGGGUUUGUUUGGUUGCGUUAAUCUUAACUCUGCUUUUGUGGUUUGAUUUCGAAAAAUCGCGAAGAGAUUCUCAUGGGAUUUGUGUCGCUUUUGAGAGUGCUAGCUUAGGAACGCUUUUUCAGUUUCCACUGAGUCCUCUCCAAGUUGUUUUUGUUUUUAUUGCUGCGGUGUUUUUGUCCAUCGACAUGGUUCGAAUCGUCGAAGCCUGUUUGAACCUCUCUCCCAUUGAGCGUAGCCACCGACAAAAGCUGAAAUCUGCCUGCAGCCCACUCCAGUGGUUUCUCAUAUUUGGACAGUUCAGCCACAAUUUUGUUUUGAUCUAUUUAUAGAUAUUUUAUGCUUGAAAUAGUUGGAUUGUGUUGUUGACGUUGUCGCAGUUUCACCAAUGUUGAAUUGCGUUAUCGCUGACCUAAUUGUUGAACAGCUUACAUUGUAUGAUCGUUGGCCUAACUAUUGGAUUGUGUUACGUUGAUUUGUUCUAAAUGAGAUGGUUUUUAGGAGGAACUAGAAAUUUACGUUUUAUGAAUUUUGUUGAAAUCGAAUAGGAAUCAAAUGAACUAGUUUGGUUUAGAUGGAAUGUUUUCUAUUUUUUUAUGCCUUUAUUAUUUUGUUUCUAGGGUUUUUUUUUAUAAGAAUUACCACAAAAAAGAAGGUAUUAAUAUACAU